RNAcentral lists this ribosomal RNA (460 nucleotides) under uncultured bacterium. Its description in RNAcentral is "partial 16S ribosomal RNA". It matches the Rfam family "Bacterial small subunit ribosomal RNA", at positions 338 to 795 of the family's 1533-position model. The record is from RNAcentral.
CCUACGGGGGGCUGCAGUGAGGAAUAUUGGUCAAUGGGCGCGAGCCUGAACCAGCCAAGUCGCGUGAGGGAGGACGGCCCUACGGGUUGUAAACCUCUUUUGCCGGGGAGCAACGGGCGUCACGUGUGGCGCCACUGAGAGUACCCGGAGAAAAAGCAUCGGCUAACUCCGUGCCAGCAGCCGCGGUAAUACGGAGGAUGCGAGCGUUAUCCGGAUUUAUUGGGUUUAAAGGGUGCGUAGGCGGAUCGUUAAGUCAGUGGUAAACUUGAGAGGCUCAACCUCUUCGAGCCGUUGAAACUGGUUUUCUUGAGUGAGCGAGAAGUAUGCGGAAUGCGUGGUGUAGCGGUGAAAUGCAUAGAUAACACGCAGAACUCCGAUUGCGAAGGCAGCAUACCGGCGCUCAACUGACGCUCAUGCACGAAAGUGUGGGUAUCGAACAGGAUUAGAUACCCCAGUAGUC